GGACCAUUUGAAAGCGGAUUAUAUAAAACUAACGCGUAAAUGAGUUCUUCCAAUUUGGAGGUUAUUAAAAUUAGGUAGCGAAAAAAUUAAUUACGUUUGAGGAAGGAACUAAAGUUGGUUUAAAUAAGAAAGAUUGCGGUGUACGUUUUUAGUGGUGGGAAUUCCAAAAGGAACUCUGAAAUGGGAGGGCCAGGGCGGUGCCUGCUGGUUACGGGUCCUCCGGGUGUGGGCAAAACCACUCUGAUCGUUAAGGUUUUUGAGAUGCUUAAAGCCUCUAGCCCUAACUUGAAGAUCAAAGGCUUCUAUACACGAGAAAUCAGGCAAGGAAGCCAGCGUGUUGGUUUUGAAGUUGUUACAUUAGAUGGCCGGACAGCUCCCCUUGCCUCCACCUCUGUGUCCAGCUCAGAGUCUUUAAGAUGGCCAACUGUUGGGAGAUAUAAAGUCGAUAUAGCAUCAUUUGAGUCAUUGGCGUUGCCAGAACUGCAGGUUGAAAAAGAUACAGAUCUUUUCAUCAUAGAUGAGGUUGGGAAGAUGGAGCUAUUUAGUUCAUCGUUUUUUCCGGCUGUUUUGAAGGUUUUGGAAUCAAGUACUCCACUUUUGGCUUCGAUCCCCAUUCCCAAGUUUGGACGGGAUAUACCUGGAGUUGCAAGGCUGAGAAAUCAUCCAGGGGCAAAUAUAUUGACGCUGAAUCCAAGUAAUAGGGAUGGGGCUAAAGAGCAAAUUCAUGGUCAGAUAUUAAACAUGCUGGAACAGCAGCAUAAGCAUUAAGCCUUAAUGCUUUGCUUGCUUCUAUCUAUCUAAGCCACCUCUUUCCCUCUACACACAAGUUGGGAAAUCAAAGCCACUGUAUGGUGGGUGGCAGCCAAUUCAUACUUACACCAGCCGAUGAAAACCCGUACUUCUUCUUGAUUUGAUCAACUGCACCUGCUGCCUUGUUAUCUCCUGCUGCAUUCCAAUCAGCUUGCUCUUCCUUGGCUGAGUUUUUCUUCAUCUGUUUUAAUUUUCCUGAAAUUUUUUUAUUUGUAUGAAGUCACAAUCAGCGGUGGUUCCAAGUCUCAUUGUGUAAUAAAACUUCUCUAUUUUACAUUGUCACAGCGGGCAGCCUACGUAAAUUUAGGCUUCGUAUUUGAAAGAUAUAAUACUACACUCGUCUUCAUUUUGAGAA
This is an RNA transcript of Cucumis melo (muskmelon), 1165 nucleotides long. RefSeq lists it as uncharacterized. Lineage: Eukaryota; Viridiplantae; Streptophyta; Magnoliopsida; Cucurbitales; Cucurbitaceae. The record is from RefSeq and is a predicted model, not a curated record. The transcript has 7 exons.